GUUUAAUGACUGGAUGGUAUCAAUUUAUGUGACAGAAAUAUAAAUUCAGUUGUGAACUCUCUAUUGGAUUGAGUUUUCAAUAGAAAACCUGAGAUAGUUCUUAGCUGGAAGCUCUGUAAGACUGAAAAACAACAUGCAUGCCAUGUACGGAACUAGUCCCUCCAGAUGAAGAAUUCUGUCCAAUACAGGACUUCUAGAGACCUGACAAUCAGCUUCAUUACAACAUUAUUUUAAAUGAAUAAGGCACAAGUCUAAUAUCUAGAGUUUACCUGAAACAUCUGUAACCAAAAUUAACUUAAAAUAGGAAGUACAACUUUCAAAAAAAGUUGUCCUUUCCUAUGUGCUUAAGCAAUUCUUUCUAUUCCCAAACUGUAAGAUACUAAUUAGAAAAGCCGCUGGAGAUUGAUGAUUAUCAC
This 416-nucleotide long non-coding RNA is filed under the name Bos taurus (domestic cattle). RNAcentral's name for it is "long non-coding RNA NONBTAT010584". The record is from RNAcentral. Lineage: Eukaryota; Metazoa; Chordata; Mammalia; Artiodactyla; Bovidae.